GAACAAGACUGGUUACUCGCAUCAAUGCCUCUGUCUCGUCAUUUAACAUUCAGACAUGGUGUCAGAGUCGGAUAAUUAACCAUGCUUUUUGCAAAGUAGAGCCAGCCACCUGUUCUGGUUUACCCCCUAAAAAAUGCUUAUUUGAGUAAAACUUUGCCGGAUGCCGGAAUAUUCCUUAGCUAGAGUGAGUUUGCUAGUUAGCUUCAGUGUUGUUAGCACCAGUUAGACAUGGCAGCGAACAUUCCCCCUCCCGCCGUUAUGAAGCUUAGCGGAGACUGGAGCACAAACUGGGAUACGUUUAGAGGUGAAUGGGAGGACUAUGCACUAGCAACGGGACUUCAGGAAAAGGACGAUGAGGUAGUGGCUGCCACUUUGAGGACUAUAAUGGGAACAGAAUGCCGACACGUAUACAAACACAACCUGAACCUAACAGCAGCUCAGCAAGGACUUGAAAAUGAGAUCAUUAACUCUGCAAGCAACGUUUCCAGUCCAAGAAUGAGAAUGAGCAUACAACCAUGCUGACAACCAUCCGUGGAGAUCAGUGGACAAAGGGCUGGACAACAAGCCACACUGAAAAAACGCAUGGUUCCACAGAAUACCAACUGGGAUGGAUCCCGA
RNAcentral lists this long non-coding RNA (618 nucleotides) under Salmo salar (Atlantic salmon). RNAcentral's name for it is "lncRNA (ENSSSAG00000082799.1)". The record is from RNAcentral. Lineage: Eukaryota; Metazoa; Chordata; Actinopteri; Salmoniformes; Salmonidae.